This 428-nucleotide ribosomal RNA is filed under the name uncultured prokaryote. RNAcentral's name for it is "bacterial SSU rRNA". It matches the Rfam family "Bacterial small subunit ribosomal RNA", at positions 355 to 774 of the family's 1533-position model. The record is from RNAcentral.
UGAGGAAUCUUGCGCAAUGGGGGAAACCCUGACGCAGCAACGCCGCGUGAGUGAAGAAGGCCUUCGGGUCGUAAAGCUCUGUCAGAUGGGAAGAAAUGGAUGGGGGCUAAUAUCGUCCAUCCUUGACGGUACCAUCAGAGGAAGCACCGGCUAACUCCGUGCCAGCAGCCGCGGUAAUACGGGGGGUGCAAGCGUUGUUCGGAAUCAUUGGGCGUAAAGCGCGCGCAGGCGGCUUGGUAAGUCAGAUGUGAAAUCCCGGGGCUUAACCCAGGAAGUGCAUUUGAUACUGCCUCGCUAGAGUGCGGGAGAGGAAAGUGGAAUUCCGGGUGUAGAGGUGAAAUUCGUAGAUAUCAGGAGGAACACCGGUGGCGAAGGCGACGUUCUGGCCCGAUACUGACGCUCAGGCACGAAAGCGUGGGGAGCAAACA